GACGAACGCUGGCGGCGUGCUUAACACAUGCAAGUCGAACGGAAAGGCCCUGCUUUUGUGGGGUGCUCGAGUGGCGAACGGGUGAGUAACACGUUAGUAACCUGCCCUUGACUUUGGGAUAACUUCAGGAAACUGGGGCUAAUACCGGAUAGGUGCUCCUGCUGCAUGGUGGGGGUUGGAAAGUUUCGGCGGUUGGGGAUGGACUCGCGGCUUAUCAGCUUGUUGGUGGGGUAGUGGCUUACCAAGGCUUUGACGGGUAGCCGGCCUGAGAGGGUGACCGGCCACAUUGGGACUGAGAUACGGCCCAGACUCCUACGGGAGGCAGCAGUGGGGAAUAUUGCACAAUGGGCGGAAGCCUGAUGCAGCAACGCCGCGUGCGGGAUGACGGCCUUCGGGUUGUAAACCGCUUUCGCCUGUGACGAAGCGUGAGUGACGGUAAUGGGUAAAGAAGCACCGGCUAACUACGUG
Molecule: ribosomal RNA, 468 nt
Filed under: uncultured bacterium
Lineage: Bacteria
Description: partial 16S ribosomal RNA
Rfam family: Bacterial small subunit ribosomal RNA
Source: RNAcentral